CCUUAGGAGGAGUAUAACUGUUGGAAACGACUGCUAACACUCCAUAUGUCGAGAGAUGAAAUAAUUUAUUGCCUAAGGAUGAGCUCGCGCCUGAUUAGCUAGUUGGUGAGGUAAUGGCUCACCAAGGCCACGAUCAGUAGCUGGUUUGAGAGAACGAUCAGCCACACUGGGACUGAGACACGGCCCAGACUCCUCCGGGAGGCAGCAGUGAGGAAUUUUCCGCAAUGGGCGAAAGCCUGACGGAGCAAUACCGCGUGAGGGAUGAAGGAUUUUGGUCUGUAAACCUCUUUUCUCAAGAAAGAAGUUCUGACGGUACUUGAGGAAUAAGCAUCGGCUAACUCCGUGCCAGCAGCCGCGGUAAUACGGGGGAUGCAAGCGUUAUCCGGAAUCAUUGGGCGUAAAGCGCCUGUAGGUUGUUUAAUAAGUCUGUUGUUAAAGACUAGGGCUCAACCCUAGGAAAGCAAUGGAAACUACUAGACUUGAGUAUGGCA
RNAcentral lists this ribosomal RNA (491 nucleotides) under uncultured Halomicronema sp. RNAcentral's name for it is "bacterial SSU rRNA". It matches the Rfam family "Bacterial small subunit ribosomal RNA", at positions 130 to 653 of the family's 1533-position model. Lineage: Bacteria; Bacillati; Cyanobacteriota; Cyanophyceae; Nodosilineales; Nodosilineaceae. The record is from RNAcentral.